CUAUCCAUCAUAACAGUGCAUCUAUCAUGAUAAAAGUGCAUCUAUACAUCAUAAAAGUGCAUCUAUCCAUGAUAAAAGUGCAUCUAUCCAUCAUAACAGUGCAUCUAUCAUGAUAAAAGUGCAUCUAUCAUCAUAAAAGUGCAUCUAUCCAUCAUAACAGUGCAUCUAUCAUGAUAAAAGUGCAUCUAUCAUCAUAAAAGUGCAUCUAUCCAUCAUAACAGUGCAUCUAUCAUGAUAAAAGUGCAUCUAUCAUCAUAAAAGUGCAUCUAUCCAUCAUAAAAUGCAUCUAUCAUCAUAAAAGUGCAUCUAUCCAUCAUAAAAGUGCAUCUAUCCAUCAUAAAAGUGCAUCUAUCCAUGAUAAAAGUGCAUCUAUCCAUCAUAAAAGUGCAUCUAUCCAUCAUAAAAGUGCAUCUAUCCAUCAUAAAAGUGCAUCUAUCCAUGAUAAAAGUGCAUCUAUCCAUGAUAAAAGUGCAUCUAUCCAUGAUAAAAGUGCAUCUAUCCAUCAUAAAAGUGCAUCUAUCCAUCAUAAAAGUGCAUCUAUCCAUGAUAAAAGUGCAUCUAUCCAUCAUAAAAGUGCAUCUAUCCAUCAUAACAGUGCAUCUAUCAUGAUAAAAGUGCAUCUAUCAUCAUAAAAGUGCAUCUAUCCAUCAUAAAAGUGCAUCUAUCCAUCAUAAAAGUGCAUCUAUCAUGAUAAAAGUGCAUCUAUCAUCAUAAAAGUGCA
Molecule: long non-coding RNA, 721 nt
Organism: Rhinichthys klamathensis goyatoka
Lineage: Eukaryota; Metazoa; Chordata; Actinopteri; Cypriniformes; Leuciscidae
Exons: 2
Source: RefSeq, a predicted model, not a curated record